GAUGUUAUCGUUUGUAAUAAGUCUGGCCCAAGUAGUUUAUAUUUCCGACUUCAUCCCAGUCGCCUUUGAAGUCCAUAGCACAUGUAGCAUAUCUUCUAUAAUCUGACUCGUCAAUCUGUGGGUUAUAGGCCCACCUUGAUGUCAUUAGAAGUCUCGAUCAUCUUGAAGCGUCGUCAUCGAUGUCUAACUUACUCGCAUUAAUCGUCUCUCAUAAUUGGACUCAAUUCCACAU
RNAcentral lists this long non-coding RNA (232 nucleotides) under Daucus carota (carrot). RNAcentral describes it as "long non-coding RNA (DCAR_LNC007625)". The record is from RNAcentral. Lineage: Eukaryota; Viridiplantae; Streptophyta; Magnoliopsida; Apiales; Apiaceae.